This 73-nucleotide transfer RNA is filed under the name Schistosoma mansoni. Lineage: Eukaryota; Metazoa; Platyhelminthes; Trematoda; Strigeidida; Schistosomatidae. The record is from RNAcentral.
ACUCAGUAGCUGAGUGGAUAACGUGAUAGCGUUUGAAGCUGACGGUAGUGGGUUCGAGUUCCUCCCAGGGUGA